AGGUGCAUUACUGGGCAAUGGCUUCUUUGGCAGUUCAUAAUUCAUCUGCUUCAAUGAUGAAGCAGAAAACCUAUCUUCACCGCCAAAGAAGAUUUGCCCGGCAACUCACCC
RNAcentral lists this microRNA precursor (111 nucleotides) under Phaseolus vulgaris (common bean). RNAcentral's name for it is "pre miRNA mir-399". It matches the Rfam family "mir-399 microRNA precursor family". Rfam says of the family: mir-399 was identified in both Arabidopsis thaliana and Oryza sativa computationally and was later experimentally verified. mir-399 is thought to target mRNAs coding for a phosphatase transporter. The record is from Rfam by way of RNAcentral. Lineage: Eukaryota; Viridiplantae; Streptophyta; Magnoliopsida; Fabales; Fabaceae.